This 481-nucleotide ribosomal RNA is filed under the name uncultured bacterium. Its description in RNAcentral is "bacterial SSU rRNA". It matches the Rfam family "Bacterial small subunit ribosomal RNA", at positions 29 to 524 of the family's 1533-position model. The record is from RNAcentral.
AUUAAACGCUGGCGGCAUGCCUUACACAUGCAAGUCGAACGGUAACAGGUUAAGCUGACGAGUGGCGAACGGGUGAGUAAUGCAUCGGAACGUGCCCGGUCGUGGGGGAUAACGCAGCGAAAGCUGCGCUAAUACCGCAUACGAUCUGAGGAUGAAAGCGGGGGACCGUAAGGCCUCGCGCGAUCGGAGCGGCCGAUGUCAGAUUAGGUAGUUGGUGGGGUAAAGGCUCACCAAGCCGACGAUCUGUAGCUGGUCUGAGAGGACGACCAGCCACACUGGAACUGAGACACGGUCCAGACUCCUACGGGAGGCAGCAGUGGGGGAAUAUUGCGCAAUGGGCGAAAGCCUGACGCAGCCACGCCGCGUGAGUGAUGAAGGCCUUCGGGUUGUAAAGCUCUGUCGGGAGGGAAGAAGGCGCAAGCCUGACGGGUACCCUCGCCAAGAAAGCACCGGCUAACUCUGUGCCAGCAGCCGCGGUAAU